UGCGUAGGCGGCCAGAUCAGUCAGGCGUGAAAGUGUUCGGCUUAACCGGAAAAUUGCGUUUGAUACUGUUUGGCUAGAAUCAGGAUGAGGUUGGCGGAAUGUGGCAUGUAGCGGUGAAAUGCAUAGAUAUGCCAUAGAACACCGAUUGCGAAGGCAGCUGGCUGGACCUGAAUUGACGCUGAGGCACGAAAGCGUGGGGAGCGAACAGGAUUAGAUACCCUGGUAGUC
Molecule: ribosomal RNA, 228 nt
Filed under: uncultured bacterium
Lineage: Bacteria
Description: partial 16S ribosomal RNA
Rfam family: Bacterial small subunit ribosomal RNA
Source: RNAcentral